GUAGUCAUAUGCUUGUCUCAAAGAUUAAGCCAUGCAAGUCUAAGUAUAAACAAGUUUGUACUGUGAAACUGCGAAGGGCUCAUUAAAUCAGUUAUAGUUUAUUUGAUGAUAAUUCGCUACAUGGAUAACUGUGGUAGUUCUAGAGCUAAUACAUGCAUCACAAGCCCCGACUUCUGGAAGGGGUGUAUUUAUUAAAUAAAAGACGAACGCGGCUUGCCGCUCCUUUGGUGAUUCAUAAUAACUUGUCGAAUCGUAUGGCCUUGCGCUGACGAUGCAUCAUUCAAAUAUCUGCCCUAUCAACUCUUGAUGGUAGGAUAGAGGCCUACCAUGGUUUCAACGGGUAACGGGGAAU
This 352-nucleotide ribosomal RNA is filed under the name uncultured fungus. Its description in RNAcentral is "SSU rRNA". It matches the Rfam family "Eukaryotic small subunit ribosomal RNA", at positions 20 to 370 of the family's 1831-position model. Lineage: Eukaryota; Fungi. The record is from RNAcentral.